RNAcentral lists this ribosomal RNA (497 nucleotides) under uncultured bacterium. RNAcentral describes it as "partial 16S ribosomal RNA". It matches the Rfam family "Bacterial small subunit ribosomal RNA", at positions 28 to 507 of the family's 1533-position model. The record is from RNAcentral.
GAUGAACGCUGGCGGCGUGCCUAAUACAUGCAAGUCGAGCGAACAGACGAGAAGCUUGCUCCUCUGACGUUAGCGGCGGACGGGUGAGUAACACGUGGAUAACCUACCUAUAAGACUGGGAUAACUUCGGGAAACCGGAGCUAAUACCGGAUGAUAUAUUGAACCGCAUGGUUCAAUAGUGAAAGACGGUCUUGCUGUCACUUAUAGAUGGAUCCGCGCUGCAUUAGCUAGUUGGUAAGGUAACGGCUUACCAAGGCAACGAUGCGUAGCCGACCUGAGAGGGUGAUCGGCCACACUGGAACUGAGACACGGUCCAGACUCCUACGGGAGGCAGCAGUAGGGAAUCUUCCGCAAUGGGCGAAAGCCUGACGGAGCAACGCCGCGUGAGUGAUGAAGGUCUUCGGAUCGUAAAACUCUGUUAUUAGGGAAGAACAAAUGUGUAAGUAACUAUGCACGUCUUGACGGUACCUAAUCAGAAAGCCACGGCUAACUACGUG